This 718-nucleotide ribosomal RNA is filed under the name uncultured organism. RNAcentral's name for it is "bacterial SSU rRNA". It matches the Rfam family "Bacterial small subunit ribosomal RNA", at positions 82 to 817 of the family's 1533-position model. The record is from RNAcentral.
CGGGAGUACAUCAGCGGCGAACGGGUGAGUAACACGUGGGUGACUUGCCCCGAAGAUGGGGAUAACCUCUGGAAACGGGGGCUAAUACCCAAUGUGCUCGGUGAUUCGGUUCAUCGAGUAAAGCUCCGGCGCUUCGGGAGAGGCCUGCGGCCCAUCAGCUAGUUGGUAGGGUAACGGCCUACCAAGGCAGAGACGGGUAGGGGGCGUGAGAGCGCGGACCCCCACACUGGCACUGAGAUACGGGCCAGACUCCUACGGGAGGCAGCAGUAAGGGAUAUUGCGCAAUGGACGAAAGUCAAACGCAGCGACGCCGCGUGGGCGAUGAAGGCCUUCGGGUUGUAAAGCCCUUUUAUGGGGGAAGAGAAAAAGGACGGUACCCCAGGAAUAAGUCCCGGCUAACUACGUGCCAGCAGCCGCGGUAAAACGUAGGGGACAAGCGUUAUCCGGAUUCACUGGGCGUAAAGAGCGUUGAGGCGGUUCCGUAAGUUGGGCGUGAAAGCUCUCGGCUUAACUGGGAGAGGUCGUUCAAUACUGCGGUGCUUGAGGUUGGAAGAGGAGAGUGGAAUUCCCGGUGUAGUGGUGGAAUGCGUAGAUAUCGGGAGGAACAACCAGUGGCGAAGGCGGCUCUCUGGUCCACACCUGACGCUGAGGUGCGAAAAGCGUGGGGAGCGAACGGGAUUAGAUACCCCGGUAGUCCACGCCGUAAACGAUGGAUACU